This 612-nucleotide ribosomal RNA is filed under the name uncultured bacterium. RNAcentral describes it as "bacterial SSU rRNA". It matches the Rfam family "Archaeal small subunit ribosomal RNA", at positions 488 to 1099 of the family's 1478-position model. The record is from RNAcentral.
GUAGUGGUCACUUUUAUUGAGCCUAAAGCGUUCGUAGCCGGUUUUGUAAAUCUCCAGAUAAAGCCUGAAGCUUAACUCCAGAAAGUCUGAAGAGACUGCAAGACUUGAGAUCGGGUGAGGUUAAACGUACUUUCAGGGUAGGGGUAAAAUCCUGUAAUCCCGGAAGGACGACCAGUGGCGAAAGCGUUUAACUAGAACGAAUCUGACGGUAAGGAACGAAGGCUANGGUAGCAAACCGGAUUAGAUACCCGGGUAGUCCUAGCUGUAAACAUUGCCCAUUUGAUGUUGCUUUCCCGUUGAGGGAAGGCAGUGUCGGAGCGAAGGUGUUAAAUGGGCCGCUUGGGAAGUAUGGUCGCAAGACUGAAACUUAAAGGAAUUGGCGGGGGAGCACCGCAACGGGAGGAAUGUGCGGUUUAAUUGGAUUCAACGCCGGAAAACUCACCGGGAACGACCUGUGCAUGAGAGUCAACUUGACGAGCUUACUCGAUAGCAGGAGAGGUGGUGCAUGGCCGUCGUCAGCUCGUACCGUAGGGCGUUCACUUAAGUGUGAUAAACGAGCCGAGACCCACAUCUUUAAUUGCCAAUGUAUAUGGGAAUAUGCAUGCACUUUAC